GCAACAGAACGAAAGCGGACAUUUGAAAAGCGUACAAGAAAUUGGAUCCAAUAAAAGUGUUGGCGAUAAAAGCAAUAUUUCGCCAUUGGUUACUGACCGAAAAGAGAAUGAGUGAAAUUGAGGCAGAUGAAGAGGUAGAUAAAGCAAAAGAAUAUAUGAGAAGGAAACUGGCAAGUAUGAAAGAAUCGAGGCAAUUG
This is a non-coding RNA of Nylanderia fulva, 197 nucleotides long. NCBI's taxonomy places the organism in Eukaryota, Metazoa, Arthropoda, Insecta, Hymenoptera, Formicidae. The record is from RefSeq and is a predicted model, not a curated record.